UUUUUUUUUUUUGGUUUUGGGCAUACUGAGAUUGAAGUAGAAGAAUGAGGAAGUGGUGGUGGCAGUGGCUACGAAUUCAUAAAAGACAAAGGGUAUGUUCAAUGAAAACUCAAAUUCUCUAACAACUCACAACAAAUUCACAAAAAAAAAAAUUAAAAACCUAAAAAAAAUUAACAAAGGGAUGACCUCGUUGAGGUCGUCUUCCUCAUCACAAAAGAGAAUCAGUGAAUUUAAAUUGUGUGCUUCCUCUCUUCUUCUUUAUGCCUUGCCAACAAAUUCACAACAAAUUCUCUUCUUCUCUUCCUCGUUGAGGUCGUCUUCCUUAAAUUCUCUAACAACUCACAACAAAUUCACAAUAUUUUAUUCCUCUCAACAGCAAUCCACAGAUUAGCAACAUCAUUCACAAAACCCUAACUGCAAUAGAACUCAAAGAUACAUAGACUUUUAGGGGAAAAAAGAAAUUACAAGUGCUUUGUCGACCGAUUCGGACCAGAUUUAGAGUUUCAGCUGGGCUUCUGUG
This 520-nucleotide long non-coding RNA is filed under the name Malus domestica (apple). Its description in RNAcentral is "long non-coding RNA (MDOM_LNC014755)". The record is from RNAcentral. Lineage: Eukaryota; Viridiplantae; Streptophyta; Magnoliopsida; Rosales; Rosaceae.